CAGGCUAUCAAGAGUAUGCUGAGGAACAAUCCAUGUAAUGGAAGAAGCAACAUCUAAUUGUCUUCUUCCAUGUACUAGAAGAAGCUAUAGUGGAGGCUGUCAAUGCUAGGGAGGGGUGAAGGGAGAUGGCCACUCUGUGGCUGCGUUGUUUCUUGUACUGUACUGACAUUAUUUAAUUUAGGAUUGAAAAGAUGAAUGUAUUCAAAUUUUUGUUUUUUGUAAAGACUAUUUUGCAAUGCCAAGUUAUUCAAACAAAUGUAGUAAGACAUGAAUGUUGUGAUGGACAAUAUACUACAACAUGUUGAAAUUACAUAAGGUUCAAAAUAAUUAAACAAUCUUCAUGAAUUCAUUACAAAA
This 357-nucleotide long non-coding RNA is filed under the name Actinidia chinensis (golden kiwifruit). Its description in RNAcentral is "long non-coding RNA (ACHI_LNC000914)". Lineage: Eukaryota; Viridiplantae; Streptophyta; Magnoliopsida; Ericales; Actinidiaceae. The record is from RNAcentral.